This 236-nucleotide ribosomal RNA is filed under the name uncultured bacterium. Its description in RNAcentral is "partial 16S ribosomal RNA". It matches the Rfam family "Bacterial small subunit ribosomal RNA", at positions 100 to 334 of the family's 1533-position model. The record is from RNAcentral.
CGGCACGGGUGAGUAACACGUAUCCAACCUGCCGUCUACUCUUGGACAGCCUUCUGAAAGGAAGAUUAAUACAAGAUGGCAUCAUGAGUCCGCAUGUUCACAUGAUUAAAGGUAUUCCGGUAGACGAUGGGGAUGUGUUCCAUUAGAUAGUAGGCGGGGUAACGGCCCACCUAGUCUUCGAUGGAUAGGGGUUCUGAGAGGAAGGUCCCCCACAUUGGAACUGAGACACGGUCCAA